CACAUGCAGUCGAGGGGCAGCAUCAUCAAAGCUUGCUUUGAUGGAUGGCGACCGGCGCACGGGUGAGUAACACGUAUCCAACCUGCCGACAACACUGGGAUAGCCUUUCGAAAGAAAGAUUAAUACCGGAUGGCAUAAUUAUUCCGCAUGGGAUAAUUAUUAAAGAAUUUCGGUUGUCGAUGGGGAUGCGUUCCAUUAGGCAGUUGGCGGGGUAACGGCCCACCAAACCUACGAUGGAUAGGGGUUCUGAGAGGAAGGUCCCCCACAUUGGAACUGAGACACGGUCCAAACUCCUACGGGAGGCAGCAGUGAGGAAUAUUGGUCAAUGGACGAGAGUCUGAACCAGCCAAGUAGCGUGAAGGAUGACUGCCCUAUGGAUUGUAAACUUCUUUUAUACGGGAAUAAAGUUAGCCACGUGUGGCUUUUUGUAUGUACCGUAUGAAUAAGGAUCGGCUAACUCCGUGCCAGCAGCCGCGGUAAUACGGAGGAUCCGAGCGUUAUCCGGAUUUAUUGGGUUUAAAGGGAGCGUAGGCGGGUUGUUAAGUCAGUUGUGAAAGUUUGCGGCUCAACCGUAAAAUUGCAGUUGAUACUGGCGACCUUGAGUGCAACAGAGGUAGGCGGAAUUCGUGGUGUAGCGGUGAAAUGCUUAGAUAUCACGAAGAACUCCGAUUGCGAAGGCAGCUUACUGGAUUGUAACUGACGCUGAUGCUCGAAAGUGUGGGUAUCAAACAGGAUUAGAUACCCUGGUAGUCCACACAGUAAACGAUGAAUACUCGCUGUUGGCGAUAUACGGUCAGCGGCCAAGCGAAAGCAUUAAGUAUUCCACCUGGGGAGUACGCCGGCACGGUGAAACUCAGAGGAAUUGACGGGGGCCCGCACAAGCGGAGGAACAUGUGGUUUAAUUCGAUGAUACGCG
This 916-nucleotide ribosomal RNA is filed under the name uncultured bacterium. RNAcentral's name for it is "bacterial SSU rRNA". It matches the Rfam family "Bacterial small subunit ribosomal RNA", at positions 52 to 963 of the family's 1533-position model. The record is from RNAcentral.